This 254-nucleotide ribosomal RNA is filed under the name uncultured bacterium. RNAcentral's name for it is "partial 16S ribosomal RNA". It matches the Rfam family "Bacterial small subunit ribosomal RNA", at positions 524 to 776 of the family's 1533-position model. The record is from RNAcentral.
UACGGGGGGAGCAAUCGUUGUUCGGAUUUACUGGGCGUAAAGGGCGCGUAGGCGGCCAGCGCAAGUCAGUUGUGAAAUCUCCGGGCUUAACUCGGAAAGGUCAACUGAUACUGCGCGGCUAGAGUGCAGAAGGGGCAACUGGAAUUCUCGGUGUAGCGGUGAAAUGCGUAGAUAUCGAGAGGAACACCUGCGGCGAAGGCGGGUUGCUGGGCUGACACUGACGCUGAUGCGCGAAAGCCAGGGGAGCGAACGGG